Long non-coding RNA from Helianthus annuus (common sunflower), 570 nucleotides. RefSeq lists it as uncharacterized. The transcript is spliced from 4 exons. NCBI's taxonomy places the organism in Eukaryota, Viridiplantae, Streptophyta, Magnoliopsida, Asterales, Asteraceae. The record is from RefSeq and is a predicted model, not a curated record.
UUGCAACUCUCAACUUUUUUACCAAAUUUGAUUUUUGAUUAGUUUUGCAAAUUAGGUGAGCAAGGACGAAGUAAAAGAUGGGCGUUGUUUCACUGUGUUUGUUGAGGUUAAAAGAUCCUAUCUUUUACCUUCUGAAAUACUAUUGGUGAAAUAUAGGCUUCUCGACGCACGGGUCGAAGGAAACGAAAGUUUGGUAGAGGAAUUGCUGCAAACAUAUGCUACACAAGACUAUGCGUUAAAGAAAAUCAAUGAUGAUGAAGUUUUGACCAAAAAGUAUGAGAUCCAGCUAAUAAGGGAUUUACCAGGAACGCAUGAUGCAGCCGAGGCUAAGGAGCUUCUAGCACGGAAGGUCGAUGGCAAGUGUUGGAUAAUUAAAGUCUUCUAUAUAGAUGAGCAAUUGCGUUGUGUUGGAAGCGUCCACUGCCCGAAUUGUCGAGAGGAAUUGUUUAUGAAAGGAUGUCCAAGUUGCUCGGAAAUGGAAAUGGAAAUGGAAAUGGAAAUGUAACUCAGACCUGUAAUGAGGUGGUAGAGAAUUGGUGAAUUCUUUAAGUUAUGAUAAUAAGAUCUCAA